AUUGAACGCUGGCGGCAGGCCUAACACAUGCAAGUCGAGCGGAUGAGUGGAGCUUGCUCCAUGAUUCAGCGGCGGACGGGUGAGUAAUGCCUAGGAAUCUGCCUGGUAGUGGGGGACAACGUUUCGAAAGGAACGCUAAUACCGCAUACGUCCUACGGGAGAAAGUGGGGGAUCUUCGGACCUCACGCUAUCAGAUGAGCCUAGGUCGGAUUAGCUAGUUGGUGAGGUAAAGGCUCACCAAGGCGACGAUCCGUAACUGGUCUGAGAGGAUGAUCAGUCACACUGGAACUGAGACACGGUCCAUACGCCUACGGGAGGCAGCAGUGGGGAAUAUUGGACAAUGGGCGAAAGCCUGAUCCAGCCAUGCCGCGUGUGUGAAGAAGGUCUUCGGAUUGUAAAGCACUUUAAGUUGGGAGGAAGGGCAGUAAGUUAAUACCUUGCUGUUUUGACGUUACCAACAGAAUAAGCACCGGCUAACUUCGUG
RNAcentral lists this ribosomal RNA (484 nucleotides) under uncultured bacterium. RNAcentral's name for it is "partial 16S ribosomal RNA". It matches the Rfam family "Bacterial small subunit ribosomal RNA", at positions 30 to 507 of the family's 1533-position model. The record is from RNAcentral.